RNAcentral lists this long non-coding RNA (1593 nucleotides) under Gallus gallus (chicken). Lineage: Eukaryota; Metazoa; Chordata; Aves; Galliformes; Phasianidae. The record is from RNAcentral.
GGACUUCAUAGCUUACACUAUUUAGGAGCUGUGAAAUGUUUUGUUGCUGCAAUAAAACUUGACUUUGCAGCAUGCCUGGCUCCUGUGCUUUGCAGAGGAUGCUCCACUUCGCCUGCAGCGAUGCUUCCAGGAGGAGGUCAGCAGCUGAGGAAUGGGCCUUAUUUUCCUUCCCAAAUCCUACAGGGAAGAAGCGACCGCAUGCUAGUCAUUGUUUUGAGAUUAUUUAAGAAACCACUGCUAUUGAACUAGCAGGAGAUCCUCUCAUCUGUGACCUAUGCCAGAUCCAUCUGAUUGUUAUGCCCCAGCUGCAGGCCGUAAUUUUCAUGGGAAAGUUUUAAGAAUGCCUGAAGAGUGACCGUCCUCUUUGCUACCCCUCACUGAUUUGUAUGGACGUCUCCUGGCCUCUCCAACAGCACUGUGGAGAGGGUUGUUUGAUUUCUUUUUAAACGUUGUCCUGCCUUCCUCCUCUUUUUUGACAAAACUGUACAUACAUGAAGACUCACUGUGUGUUGAGCAUGGCACAUGAAUGGAGGGACCACUUUGAACUACUUUUGCAACGAGGGAUUCUGCUCGACUGAUAAUGAAACCGUGGGAUAGACCUCGGGGAGAGUGUUGGAGAGAAUGCACAGUUAAGAACUGAAUGGCAAGGCAGAGAUCUGUCUGAGGAAGGACUCUGGGGUGCUGUAAGAGAAGUUACACUGCCUUGGAGGUCUUUCUGCAGGAAAACCAGUCCUGGCCCAUGCUGCUCCACCACAGGAUCAAGAGAGGCCACAAGAAGAGCUUUUGAAGUGCUCCCUGAUCCUAACUACGGCUUAACCAGCUCUGUGAGAGAGUCAAGCAUGAUACUACCUGCUCUACUCAAGGUGUGGCCCAGCGCAUAAAGGCUUGUUUUGGGGAUCUGCACAGGGACUCUGGCUCUGCUGCUGCUUCAGCUCAAUGGGCCUGGUAGGUGACUUCAUUUCUUAUCCUCUGGUUGCACAGUUCCUAAAUCAAGAAUGUUGAUGUUUCGCCUCCCUUGCGAAGUGCUUUGUUUUCAUCAGAUAAUUGUUGUGGUGCAGGGUGUGGAUGCUGUUAUUGUUGUCAUUGUUGCUCUCUAGGAGCAAAUGUUGAGGAUCUGGGUGCUAAAUAUGAAAUACCAUACUUAGGUUUUCAAGGGGCUGGGAACAUCAGGCUUCCAGCUUUCUAUAAGCUUGAUGUUUUUCAGCUGUCCCAGAGUGGACACCGUAAAGCAAAGGCACGUUCAUGCUUUGCUUAGCCCAAAGAGUCCAGUGGACUUCUGCAGUAGUGGUUUGGAGAUAUGCAUUUUCAUAAUAAAGGUGGUGAGGGAGAUAAAAAAAUAAAAAAAAAAUAGUUGGUUUGGGAGAGGAGGCUCUUGGAUUAAUUGUGGGCAGUUCUAUCCAGCGAAGUAGAGUUCAUCUAUCUAACUUUUCCUUAUGUCAAUGCACGUGAUGUAGUACUGGAAGGGACCUUUUGCUUAAUUUCCUUGGUUUGUAUUAGUGAAGUGCUUGGGGAUUUGUUCUCCAUUCCUUUCGGCAAGUGCCAUGGUACAGCUUGUAUCCAUGUGGUUGGAAAUCUUUCCCCUCAAAACAAGGC